This 253-nucleotide ribosomal RNA is filed under the name uncultured bacterium. RNAcentral describes it as "partial 16S ribosomal RNA". It matches the Rfam family "Bacterial small subunit ribosomal RNA", at positions 524 to 776 of the family's 1533-position model. The record is from RNAcentral.
GACGUAGGGCGCGAGCGUUGUCCGGAUUUAUUGGGCGUAAAGAGCUCGUAGGCGGCUUGUCGCGUCGACUGUGAAAACCCGAGGCUCAACUUCGGGCUUGCAGUCGAUACGGGCAGGCUAGAGUUCGGUAGGGGAGACUGGAAUUCCUGGUGUAGCGGUGAAAUGCGCAGAUAUCAGGAGGAACACCGGUGGCGAAGGCGGGUCUCUGGGCCGAUACUGACGCUGAGGAGCGAAAGCGUGGGGAGCGAACAGG